This 496-nucleotide ribosomal RNA is filed under the name uncultured bacterium. Its description in RNAcentral is "partial 16S ribosomal RNA". It matches the Rfam family "Bacterial small subunit ribosomal RNA", at positions 28 to 506 of the family's 1533-position model. The record is from RNAcentral.
GAUGAACGCUGGCGGCGUGCCUAAUACAUGCAAGUCGAGCGAACAGAUGAGGAGCUUGCUCCUCUGACGUUAGCGGCGGACGGGUGAGUAACACGUGGAUAACCUACCUAUAAGACUGGGAUAACUUCGGGAAACCGGAGCUAAUACCGGAUAAUAUAUUGAACCGCAUGGUUCAAUAGUGAAAGACGGUUUUGCUGUCACUUAUAGGUGGAUCCGCGCCGCAUUAGCUAGUUGGUAAGGUAACGGCUUACCAAGGCAACGAUGCGUAGCCGACCUGAGAGGGUGAUCGGCCACACUGGAACUGAGACACGGUCCAGACUCCUACGGGAGGCAGCAGUAGGGAAUCUUCCGCAAUGGGCGAAAGCCUGACGGAGCAACGCCGCGUGAGUGAUGAAGGUCUUCGGAUCGUAAAACUCUGUUAUUAGGGAAGAACAAAUGUGUAAGUAACUAUGCACGUCUUGACGGUACCUAAUCAGAAAGCCACGGCUAACUACGU